This 282-nucleotide long non-coding RNA is filed under the name Lathyrus oleraceus (garden pea). Its description in RNAcentral is "Pisum sativum (pea) long non-coding RNA (PSAT_LNC007492)". The record is from RNAcentral. Lineage: Eukaryota; Viridiplantae; Streptophyta; Magnoliopsida; Fabales; Fabaceae.
UCAUCCCGUUAACAUAUUCAUCAACACAUUCAACGAAAUGCCACAAAAACAUAAUUUGGUGGAAUGAAAUCUCAACGACAACAUGAAAAUUUAAUCAACAACAACAUGAAAAUUUCAUGAUGCUUUUGAUAAAAACAUUAUUCUUUUGACAGAAACAUUAUUCUUUUGUCAACAACAACAUGAAUUCAAAAUCAACAACAACAAUCAAAACUGAAACCUAAAUCAACAAGAACAACUGAAACUGAAAGUAAAAUCGAAAUCAACAACAAAAAUUGGAAAAAA